Molecule: transfer RNA, 97 nt
Filed under: Streptomyces sp. NE5-10
Lineage: Bacteria; Bacillati; Actinomycetota; Actinomycetes; Kitasatosporales; Streptomycetaceae
Description: tRNA-Ala
Source: RNAcentral
CUCGGCCGGGGCGGCGGUUCGUACGACCGGGUCCUCGCCCGGCUCGCCCGCGCGGGGAAGGACCCGGCCCUCGUGGUGCUCCUCUACGCGGACGAGG